AGGGAUAUAGCUCAGUUGGUAGAGUGCUUGCCUUGCAUUUAAAAGCCCUGGGUUCAAUCCCCAGCAUCACAA
This 72-nucleotide transfer RNA is filed under the name Urocitellus parryii (Arctic ground squirrel). RNAcentral's name for it is "Spermophilus parryii (Arctic ground squirrel) tRNA". It matches the Rfam family "tRNA". Rfam says of the family: Transfer RNA (tRNA) molecules are approximately 80 nucleotides in length. Their secondary structure includes four short double-helical elements and three loops (D, anti-codon, and T loops). RNAcentral also lists the same sequence under 1 other name. Lineage: Eukaryota; Metazoa; Chordata; Mammalia; Rodentia; Sciuridae. The record is from Rfam by way of RNAcentral.